GUGGGGAAUAUUGCACAAUGGGGGAAACCCUGAUGCAGCCAUGCCGCGUGUGUGAAGAAGGCCUUCGGGUUGUAAAGCACUUUCAGUGGGGAGGAAGGGCUGAUGACUAAUAUUCAUCAGCAUUGACGUUACCCACAGAAGAAGCACCGGCUAACUCCGUGCCAGCAGCCGCGGUAAUACGGAGGGUGCAAGCGUUAAUCGGAAUAACUGGGCGUAAAGCGCACGCAGGCGGUUAGAUAAGUCAGAUGUGAAAGCCCCGGGCUCAACCUGGGAACUGCAUUUGAAACUGUCUGACUAGAGUCUUGUAGAGGGGGGUAGAAUUCCAGGUGUAGCGGUGAAAUGCGUAGAGAUCUGGAGGAAUACCGGUGGCGAAGGCGGCCCCCUGGACAAAGACUGACGCUCAGGUGCGAAAGCGUGGGGAGCAAACAGGAUUAGAAACCCGGGUAGUCC
RNAcentral lists this ribosomal RNA (450 nucleotides) under uncultured bacterium. Its description in RNAcentral is "partial 16S ribosomal RNA". It matches the Rfam family "Bacterial small subunit ribosomal RNA", at positions 354 to 796 of the family's 1533-position model. The record is from RNAcentral.